Molecule: transfer RNA, 76 nt
Filed under: Pseudomonadota bacterium
Lineage: Bacteria; Pseudomonadati; Pseudomonadota
Description: Proteobacteria bacterium tRNA-Arg
Rfam family: tRNA
About the family: Transfer RNA (tRNA) molecules are approximately 80 nucleotides in length. Their secondary structure includes four short double-helical elements and three loops (D, anti-codon, and T loops). Further hydrogen bonds mediate the characteristic L-shaped molecular structure. tRNAs have two regions of fundamental functional importance: the anti-codon, which is responsible for specific mRNA codon recognition, and the 3' end, to which the tRNAs corresponding amino acid is attached (by aminoacyl-tRNA synthetases). tRNAs cope with the degeneracy of the genetic code in two manners: having more than one tRNA (with a specific anti-codon) for a particular amino acid; and 'wobble' base-pairing, i.e. permitting non-standard base-pairing at the 3rd anti-codon position.
Source: RNAcentral
GUCUCCAUAGUUCAAAUGGAUAGAACGGGUCUUUCCUAAAGAUCAAAUGGCGGUUCAAUUCCGUCUGGGGACACCA